This 422-nucleotide ribosomal RNA is filed under the name uncultured bacterium. Its description in RNAcentral is "bacterial SSU rRNA". It matches the Rfam family "Bacterial small subunit ribosomal RNA", at positions 355 to 774 of the family's 1533-position model. The record is from RNAcentral.
UGAGGAAUAUUGGACAAUGGGUGGAAGCCUGAUCCAGCCAUCCCGCGUGAAGGAUGACGGUCCUAUGGAUUGUAAACUUCUUUUGUACAGGGAUAAACCUGCCCUCGUGAGGGCAGCUGAAGGUACUGUACGAAUAAGCACCGGCUAACUCCGUGCCAGCAGCCGCGGUAAUACGGAGGGUGCGAGCGUUAUCCGGAUUUAUUGGGUUUAAAGGGUCCGUAGGCGGGCCUGUAAGUCAGUGGUGAAAUCUCAUAGCUUAACUAUGAAACUGCCAUUGAUACUGCAGGCCUUGAGUAAAUUUGAAGUGGCUGGAAUAAGUAGUGUAGCGGUUAAAUGCAUAGAUAUUACUUAGAACACCGAUUGCGAAGGCAGGUCACUAAGAUUUAACUGACGCUGAUGGACGAAAGCGUGGGGAGCGAACA